Long non-coding RNA from Platichthys flesus (European flounder), 221 nucleotides. RefSeq lists it as uncharacterized. NCBI's taxonomy places the organism in Eukaryota, Metazoa, Chordata, Actinopteri, Pleuronectiformes, Pleuronectidae. The record is from RefSeq and is a predicted model, not a curated record. The transcript is spliced from 4 exons.
AGUGGAAGAUGGAGCCCCAGGACUUUGCAAAGAAAGACAGGGAAGGCAGUGGAUUCUCCAAGCGGCGCAUUUCCUCAAUUUUAAAGGGACCACGAAAAUCAGCAAGAUUCCCGGAUCCGGAGCAACAGGAAAAUGUGGUUGAAAGUGCCAAGCCGGUGGAAAAGAGGAUUUCAAGAAGAGUCAGUUUUGCUCCUGCCAACGAUGUUCUCCUGUUUUCAAAG